This 301-nucleotide ribosomal RNA is filed under the name uncultured bacterium. RNAcentral describes it as "partial 16S ribosomal RNA". It matches the Rfam family "Bacterial small subunit ribosomal RNA", at positions 509 to 807 of the family's 1533-position model. The record is from RNAcentral.
CAGCCGCCACGGUAAUACGUAGGUGGCAAGCGUUGUCCGGAAUUAUUGGGCGUAAAGGGCUCGCAGGCGGUUUCUUAAGUCUGAUGUGAAAGCCACCGGCUCAACCGGGGAGGGUCAUUGGAAACUGGGAAACUUGAGUGCAGAAGAGGAGAGUGGAAUUCCACGUGUAGCGGUGAAAUGCGUAGAGAUGUGGAGGAACACCAGUGGCGAAGGCGACUCUCUGGUCUGUAACUGACGCUGAGGAGCGAAAGCGUGGGGAGCGAACAGGAUUAGAUACCCCCGUAGUCCCUGUCUCUUAUAC